UACGUAGGGGGCAAGCGUUGUCCGGAAUCACUGGGCGUAAAGCGCGUGUAGGCGGUCCGGUAAGUCGGGUGUGAAACCUCCAGGCUCAACCUGGAGACGCCACCCGAUACUGCUGUGACUAGAGUCCGGUAGGGGAGCGUGGAAUUCCUGGUGUAGCGGUGAAAUGCGCAGAUAUCAGGAGGAACACCAGCGGCGAAGGCGGCGCUCUGGGCCGGAACUGACGCUGAGGAGCGAAAGCGUGGGGAGCAAACAGG
RNAcentral lists this ribosomal RNA (254 nucleotides) under uncultured bacterium. RNAcentral's name for it is "partial 16S ribosomal RNA". It matches the Rfam family "Bacterial small subunit ribosomal RNA", at positions 524 to 776 of the family's 1533-position model. The record is from RNAcentral.